Molecule: ribosomal RNA, 451 nt
Filed under: uncultured bacterium
Lineage: Bacteria
Description: partial 16S ribosomal RNA
Rfam family: Bacterial small subunit ribosomal RNA
Source: RNAcentral
GUGGGGAAUAUUGGACAAUGGGGGGAACCCUGAUCCAGCCAUGCCGCGUGUGUGAAGAAGGCCUUUUGGUUGUAAAGCACUUUAAGCGAGGAGGAGGCUUACCUGGUUAAUACCUGGGAUAAGUGGACGUUACUCGCAGAAUAAGCACCGGCUAACUCUGUGCCAGCAGCCGCGGUAAUACAGAGGGUGCAAGCGUUAAUCGGAUUUACUGGGCGUAAAGCGCGCGUAGGUGGCUAAUUAAGUCAAAUGUGAAAUCCCCGAGCUUAACUUGGGAAUUGCAUUCGAUACUGGUUAGCUAGAGUAUGGGAGAGGAUGGUAGAAUUCCAGGUGUAGCGGUGAAAUGCGUAGAGAUCUGGAGGAAUACCGAUGGCGAAGGCAGCCAUCUGGCCUAAUACUGACACUGAGGUGCGAAAGCAUGGGGAGCAAACAGGAUUAGAAACCCCAGUAGUCC